RNAcentral lists this transfer RNA (75 nucleotides) under Bacteroidia bacterium. Its description in RNAcentral is "tRNA-Val". It matches the Rfam family "tRNA". From Rfam's summary of the family: Transfer RNA (tRNA) molecules are approximately 80 nucleotides in length. RNAcentral also lists the same sequence under 1 other name. The record is from RNAcentral. Lineage: Bacteria; Pseudomonadati; Bacteroidota; Bacteroidia.
GAGGGUAUAGCUCAGUUGGUUUAGAGCGCUGCCUUGACAGGGCAGAGGUCCACAGUUCGAGUCUGUGUAUCCUCA